Molecule: ribosomal RNA, 321 nt
Filed under: uncultured eukaryote
Lineage: Eukaryota
Description: partial 18S ribosomal RNA
Rfam family: Eukaryotic small subunit ribosomal RNA
Source: RNAcentral
CCCUUAGAUGUUCUGGGCCGCACGCGUGCUACACUGAGUAAUUCAAUGGUAAGGGAACGCUAGAGCAUUACCUAAUCUUGAAAUUUGCUCGUGAUGGGGAUCGACGGUUGCAAUUUUCCGUCGUGAACGAGGAAUACCUUGUAGGCGCAUGUCAUCAUCAUGCGCCGAAUACGUCCCUGCCCUUUGUACACACCGCCCGUCGCUCCUACCGAUUGAGUGAUCCGGUGAGGCUCUGGGACCUGGACGGAAAGAGCGUUUCGCUUGUUCUGUUUGGGAAACUUGGUCGAACCUUAUCAUUUAGAGGAAGGAGAAGUCGUAACA